GCCAGACGCAGGGGCACGUGCCUAUAGUCCUAGCUACUCCGAAGGCUGAUAGAGGAAGAUUGCUUGAGUCCAGGAGUUCUGGGCUAUAGUGUGCUAUGCUGUUCAGGUGUCCUCACUAAGUUUGGCAUCAAUACGGUGACCUCCCGGGAGCAGGGGGCCACCAGGUUGCCUAAGGAGUGAACUGGCCCAGGUUGGAAACAGAGCAGGUCAAAACUCCUGUGCUGAUCAGUAGUGGGAUUGCACCUGUGAAUAUAGCCACUGCAAUCCAGCCUGGGAAACAUAGCGAGACCAGUCUCUU
This is a non-coding RNA of Otolemur garnettii (small-eared galago), 298 nucleotides long. NCBI's taxonomy places the organism in Eukaryota, Metazoa, Chordata, Mammalia, Primates, Galagidae. The record is from Rfam.